GGCUCGCGCACGAUGCACGCACCCACUGACCUGCGCCCACUGUCUGGCACUCCCUAGUGAGAUGAACCUGGUACCUCAGAUGGAAAUGCAGAAAUCACCCGUCUUCUGCGUUGCUCACGCUGGGAGCUGUAGACCAGAGCUGUUCCUAUUCGGCCUUCUUGGCUCCUUCCCUGGGCUCUUUUAUAUUGCUGGCAAAAUAGUGACUCCCCGUGGAACAGAGUUGUUGUUCAGCAGAAAUAAUCAAGAGUUGACAUCAUACCAGGUAAAAAAUAGAAGCGGUAAUUUUGAAGGUGCUGUCAGAAGAGUUAUUGAAGUGGUCAUGAACUCUAAAGUUACAGAGGCAAUUAUGUAAAGAUAAAAGAUAAAGACCUCGGGACUCAACAAUAAACCAGACCAGUAUGGCUCUAUCUUCAUGAAGAACAUACACAAUAAUUCAGGACUCACAGAAGUCGAUGAGCAGAACACAGAAGACUCAACCUGAAGAAAUUCCAUAUACGUGCUACUCCUGUAGGCACAAGCAAGAAAAAAUAUUCAAGGAUAAGAGUUUCAUGAGAGUAGAAGUCUUAAUCCAUGAACCUGGAAAAAGAUAUUCACAUCAAGGAUGGCACCCUUCUCCUGGGAGAAACCUCCCUGGGUAAUACUGAUCUCAUAUUGUGAAUUGUUUGAGAUUUGAAGAAUGGAUUAAAGAGAAAAUGAUUGUGCCCGUAGACCAAUGAAGAGACUGUUGCAAUAACUCAGUGCAACUGCCACCAAAAUGUAAAAUUUUCAUAAAAAUCCUUACAGGGAAGACCUGUAAGGUUGAACCCUCCAAUACAAUAGAAAAUGUAAAGGCCAAGAUCUAGCAUGAGGAAGGAAUUCCUCCUGAUCAGCCAAGACCGAUCUUUACUGGUAAGCAACUGGAAGAUGGGGGCACUUUGACUAGGACAUUAAAAAUAAGUCCGCUCUUCAUCUUGUGCUGAGACUUCCUGGUGGUGCCGAGAAAAGGAAGAAGCCUUGUACCACUUCCAAGUAGAAUAAGCAUAAGAGAAAGGUUAGGCUGGCUCUCCUGAAAUAGUAUAAGGUAGAUAAGAAUGGCAAAAUUAAUCACCUUCAAUGCCCUUCAGAUGAAUGCAGUACUGAAGUUUUCAUGGCCAUUCACUUUAAUAGACAUUAUUGUGGCAAAUGUGGCCUGACUUACUGCUUCAGCAAACCAGAAGACAAGUAA
This 1204-nucleotide long non-coding RNA is filed under the name Homo sapiens (human). RNAcentral's name for it is "PREDICTED lncRNA (TCONS_00078237)". Lineage: Eukaryota; Metazoa; Chordata; Mammalia; Primates; Hominidae. The record is from RNAcentral.